This 253-nucleotide ribosomal RNA is filed under the name uncultured bacterium. RNAcentral describes it as "partial 16S ribosomal RNA". It matches the Rfam family "Bacterial small subunit ribosomal RNA", at positions 524 to 776 of the family's 1533-position model. The record is from RNAcentral.
UACGAAGGGGGCUAGCGUUGCUCGGAAUCACUGGGCGUAAAGCGCACGUAGGCGGAUCUUUAAGUCAGGGGUGAAAUCCUGGAGCUCAACUCCAGAACUGCCUUUGAUACUGAAGAUCUUGAGUUCGGGAGAGGUGAGUGGAACUGCGAGUGUAGAGGUGAAAUUCGUAGAUAUUCGCAAGAACACCAGUGGCGAAGGCGGCUCACUGGCCCGAUACUGACGCUGAGGCACGAAAGCGUGGGGAGCAACAGGG